UGGAUCCAGACUUUGAUUAUGGCUCAGGAUGAACGCUAGCUACAGGCUUAACACAUGCAAGUCGAGGGGCAGCAUAUCGGUAGCUUGCUACUGGUGAUGGCGACCGGCGCACGGGUGAGUAACGCGUAUCCAACCUUCCCAUGACUGGGGAAUAACCUUGCGAAAGUAAGACUAAUACCCCAUGGUUUCCGAGGCGGACAUCCAAUUUGGAAUAAAGAUUCAUCGGUCAUGGAUGGGGAUGCGUCUGAUUAGCUUGUUGGCGGGGUAACGGCCCACCAAGGCGACGAUCAGUAGGGGUUCUGAGAGGAAGGUCCCCCACAUUGGAACUGAGACACGGUCCAAACUCCUACGGGAGGCAGCAGUGAGGAAUAUUGGUCAAUGGACGAGAGUCUGAACCAGCCAAGUAGCGUGCAGGAUGACGGCCCUAUGGGUUGUAAACUGCUUUUAUACGGGAAUAAAGUCAAUCACGUGUGAUUGUUUGUAUGUACCGUAUGGAUAAGGACCGGCUAAUUCCGUGCCAGCAGCCGCGGUAAUACGGAAGGUCCGGGCGUUAUCCGGAUUUAUUGGGUUUAAAGGGAGCGUAGGCCGCCGAUUAAGCGUGUUGUGAAAUGCCGCAGCUCAACUGUGGCACUGCAGCGCGAACUGGUUGGCUUGAGUGCGCGGAAGGCAGGCGGAAUUUGUGGUGUAGCGGUGAAAUGCUUAGAUAUCACGAAGAACCCCGAUUGCGAAGGCAGCUUGCCGCAGCGUAACUGACGCUGAAGCUCGAAAGUGCGGGUAUCGAACAGGAUUAGAUACCCUGGUAGUCCGCACGGUAAACGAUGGAUGCCCGCUGUUCCGGCUAUAUGUUGGAGUGGCCAAGCGAAAGCGUUAAGCAUCCCACCUGGGGAGUACGCCGGCAACGGUGCAACUCAAAUGAAUUGACGGA
RNAcentral lists this ribosomal RNA (925 nucleotides) under uncultured Bacteroidota bacterium. RNAcentral's name for it is "bacterial SSU rRNA". It matches the Rfam family "Bacterial small subunit ribosomal RNA", at positions 1 to 917 of the family's 1533-position model. Lineage: Bacteria; Pseudomonadati; Bacteroidota. The record is from RNAcentral.